AGGAAUAAAAUCAUCAGAUAUUCUAUCCCUCCUCCAAUCUCCAUUCCGUUAUCGGCACUGCACCCAGAGGGAGAGAAGAGCCCGACCUCCUCUUCUCUUCUUCCUUCUUCCUCGUUUGAUCUGUCACUCACCGGUCAUCGUGAGUGCGUCCGUGCCGUUGCUGGACGUUUGGGUCGCAAGGCUCUUCUUCUCUAUCCCCAUUUCUAGUUUCUACUGCGUCUGCCGAGAGAGAGGGGGUUCCAAUUGAUGUUUCUGUUCCCUCUUCUCGCGGGUGAGUGCUUUCACGAAGGAGCUGGAUUUGUCGUCAUCAAGGGUUGUCGAUCAGUUCGGAGCUCUCUUUCCUUCUCCCCUGUUUUAUCCUGCCGAAAUCAUCUUCUCCCUGUUCGCCACUGCCAUUGAUGUACCAAACUUGUAUCUCAAGGUAUUAAUUGAGGAGUUCUAUUGCUGAAUUGAAGUGGAAGAGUUACUUGAGACAAGUCUCAAUUCAAUGAGAAUUUGAACUUUGUAUUUUUGUCUAAGUGUGGCCCAAGGGCCUCCACAUAAAUUGUAGGUAGGAUCCUUGUCUUUCUUCUAAGAUUGUAUAUUUGACUUGAUAUUGUAAAUUGUUUGUUGUAGAAAUUUCUAGAAGUCUUAUUUU
Prosopis cineraria is the source of this 637-nucleotide long non-coding RNA. RefSeq lists it as uncharacterized. NCBI's taxonomy places the organism in Eukaryota, Viridiplantae, Streptophyta, Magnoliopsida, Fabales, Fabaceae. The transcript is spliced from 2 exons. The record is from RefSeq and is a predicted model, not a curated record.